AGUGAACGCUGGCGGUAGGCCUAACACAUGCAAGUCGAACGGCAGCACAGUAAGAGCUUGCUCUUACGGGUGGCGAGUGGCGGACGGGUGAGGAAUACAUCGGAAUCUACUUUUUCGUGGGGGAUAACGUAGGGAAACUUACGCUAAUACCGCAUACGACCUACGGGUGAAAGCAGGGGAUCUUCGGACCUUGCGCGAUUGAAUGAGCCGAUGUCGGAUUAGCUAGUUGGCGGGGUAAAGGCCCACCAAGGCGACGCUCCGUAGCUGGUCUGAGAGGAUGAUCAGCCACACUGGAACUGGGACACGGUCCAGACUCCUACGGGAGGCAGCAGUGGGGAAUAUUGGACAAUGGGCGCAAGCCUGAUGCAGCAAUCCCGCGUGGGUGAAGAAGGCUUUGGGGUUGUAAAGCCCUUUUGUUGGGAAAGAAAAGCAGCAGGUUAAUACCCCGAUGUUCUGACGGUACCCAAAGAAUAAGCACCGGCUAACUUCGUG
This 492-nucleotide ribosomal RNA is filed under the name uncultured bacterium. RNAcentral's name for it is "partial 16S ribosomal RNA". It matches the Rfam family "Bacterial small subunit ribosomal RNA", at positions 29 to 507 of the family's 1533-position model. The record is from RNAcentral.